This is a long non-coding RNA of Eptesicus fuscus (big brown bat), 828 nucleotides long. RefSeq lists it as uncharacterized. The transcript has 2 exons. The record is from RefSeq and is a predicted model, not a curated record. NCBI's taxonomy places the organism in Eukaryota, Metazoa, Chordata, Mammalia, Chiroptera, Vespertilionidae.
UCAAGCCUCGUAGAUUGGAUCUGCUAGAAACUGGGGCCAAUUAAGAGACUGCUCCCUGAUGCCCACAGGAAAGCACCUUCAGGGCCUGAAACCUAGGCUGUUUGGAGGUGGCAGGUCACCAACCAAAACACUAUCAGAAGCAAGUGACUUCUAGACCCUGAACCUGUGAGCCUUAAAUCUCUCGUGGCUAGUUCACGAAGCCCAGUUCACCUGCCCUCUCCUCCAAAUCAGUGUGGAUCCCAUUAAUCUUCACGGUCACUUGUGUCAGUUGCUUGUGCUCAAAAGCGGUGUAGCUGCUGAUGUGUGAGCAGGAGGGGCUGGCCUACGGCAACCCACUGGGAGAGUCAACACCUGCCCGACCUCAGGAACACGAUAUUGCCAGGCUGUGAUUUUGCUUCCACCCUCCUCUUGGCUGCCUAGCAUCGUGGUUCAAUGGGAGCCACUUCAUUCUGACUACAUCAUGCCCGGCACCCACUGCUGUCAUCUUCCAGCAAUCACUGCCCUCACAGAGCUUCAAUGUGCCCCCAGAAGCUCUUCAAAGACAGCUGAGGACCAUUCUUCGUUUGAAGAUGCAGAAAAGUACAUAAAACCUAAGUGCACAGAUAAGUAGAUUAACAUCAGCAGCAGGUCAAGCAACGGCACAUAGAAGCAUCUUAGAAGCCUCCUGUGUGUCCUUUCUUGACCACAAUCAAGAACCUGGAGACCCUGUGGGUUUGUACCUAUUGUCUUGUCUUUCUACUCAUUCUCACCCAUGCUAUCUUGCCUCCUCAUAUGUCCGGUUAUCUUUGUGUGCUGGAUGCUUUAUUAAAAAGUUACUUAUAAAAAUAA